GGCGUGCCUAACACAUGCAAGUCGAACGGAGUUUUGUGAGGGAAGUCUACGGAUGGACGUUAUAAAACUUAGUGGCGGACGGGUGAGUAACGCGUGGGCAACCUGCCGUAUACAGGGGGAUAACAACUGGAAACAGCUGCUAACACCGCAUAAGCGCACGGUACCGCAUGGUACCGAGUGAAAAUCUCCGGAGGUAUACGAUGGGCCCGCGUCUGAUUAGCCAGUUGGUGGGGUAACGGCCUACCAAAGCGACGAUCAGUAGCCGGCCUGAGAGGGUGGACGGCCACAUUGGGACUGAGACACGGCCCAAACUCCUACGGGAGGCAGCAGUGGGGGAUAUUGCACAAUGGGGGAAACCCUGAUGCAGCGACGCCGCGUGAGUGAAGAAGCAAUUCGUUGCGUAAAGCUCUAUCAGCAGGGAAGAAGAAAUGACGGUACCUGAAUAAGAAGCCCCGGCUAACUACGUGCCAGCAGCCGCGGUAAUACGUAGGGGGCAAGCGUUAUCCGGAUUUACUGGGUGUAAAGGGAGCGUAGACGGCAGUGCAAGUCCGAUGUGAAAACCCGGGGCUCAACCCUGGGAGUGCAUUGGAAACUGUACGGCUGGAGUGCAGGAGAGGUAAGCGGAAUUCCUGGUGUAGCGGUGAAAUGCGUAGAUAUCAGGAGGAACACCAGUGGCGAAGGCGGCUUACUGGACUGUAACUGACGUUGAGGCUCGAAAGCGUGGGGAGCAAACAGGAUUAGAUACCCUGGUAGUCCACGCUGUAAAC
This 767-nucleotide ribosomal RNA is filed under the name uncultured bacterium. RNAcentral's name for it is "bacterial SSU rRNA". It matches the Rfam family "Bacterial small subunit ribosomal RNA", at positions 41 to 807 of the family's 1533-position model. The record is from RNAcentral.